AUUCUAAUUAGAUUGAAGGUUUAUAUAU
RNAcentral lists this small RNA (28 nucleotides) under Arabidopsis thaliana (thale cress). RNAcentral describes it as "ATSL293830". Lineage: Eukaryota; Viridiplantae; Streptophyta; Magnoliopsida; Brassicales; Brassicaceae. The record is from RNAcentral.